Molecule: ribosomal RNA, 894 nt
Filed under: Triticum aestivum (bread wheat)
Lineage: Eukaryota; Viridiplantae; Streptophyta; Magnoliopsida; Poales; Poaceae
Description: partial small subunit ribosomal RNA
Source: RNAcentral
AUGGGCCUAUCCCUACGGCUCCGUGUAUGCCGACGCCCGCGACCAAAUACUCCGUCUGGCCGGUUCUCCAACUACAAAAUCCAGCCAGAUUUCAUCGCAACAAUGUUGGGGUUGGAGGAGGCCCCUCCUGCGCAUGCCCUCACAGCUGAGAAAACUUGCGACCCGUCCGGCAUGACCUUCGCCUAUGGUGGUGCAGGUGUGCUAGAAAGUACAUCACACGGAGUUCACACCCUCCGCAAGCAGGUUGACGCUUUUAGGAAGAUGGUCAAGGAUGGGACCAUCUCUGAGAAGCAGUUGAGUCACUCGGUAGCCCUCGUGGCCAUCUCCGGCAAUGAUUAUGCAAGCGCAAGCGUGAUUGGUCUAAGUAGGCCCAGUGAUAUUAAAGCUUAUAUUGGAAAGGUGACAAAAGAGAUCGCAGCAAAUGUGGAGCAAUUGUUGAAGCUUGGAGUGACAAAAGUUCUUGUCAACAACUUGCACCCUAUCGGUUGCACGCCAUCACAAACACGAACCAAUAACUACACUGUGUGCGAUAUUUUUGGAAAUUUAGGUGCAUCAAUCCAUAACGAUAACCUAAAACAAGUCAUGACAGUAAAGAAGAAUGUUCACAUCGUCGACCUAUACGCCGCCUUUAGUAGCAUUGUGGAUCAUGCGCCAGGUAAAGGCUCAGAUCUAUCUAAGCAAUUCAAGCGCAAACUAUCGCCCUGUUGCGAGAGUUUGGAUUCGAAUGGCUAUUGCGGACAACAAGGCGAGUCGUCCUCAGAGCUUCUAUACACCGUAUGCGACAAGUCCGGCAAAUUUUUCUAUUGGGACGACAAGCACCCCACACAUGCAGGAUGGGAGGCUAUCAUGAAACAGUUGGAAAAGCCCUUGAAGGAGUUUGUAGAUCAAGACUAG